This 253-nucleotide ribosomal RNA is filed under the name uncultured bacterium. RNAcentral's name for it is "partial 16S ribosomal RNA". It matches the Rfam family "Bacterial small subunit ribosomal RNA", at positions 524 to 776 of the family's 1533-position model. The record is from RNAcentral.
UACAGAGGGUGCAAACGUUGUUCGGAAUUACUGGGCGUAAAGCGUGUGUAGGCGGCCUUGCAAGUCGGAUGUGGAAGCCCCGGGCUCAACCCGGGAAGUGCACUCGAUACUGCAGGGCUUGAGUAUCGGAGAGGUUGGUGGAAUUCUCGGUGUAGAGGUGAAAUUCGUAGAUAUCGAGAGGAACACCGGCGGCGAAGGCGGCCAACUGGACGAUUACUGACGCUGAGACACGAAAGCGUGGGGAGCAAACAGG